UGAUUCCGAUUGGCGCCGACAUUGCACUUAGUGUUAACGAUCUUUCCGAAGGGUUUACAGAGCUCAACUAGCUCCUCCUCCGUGCACUCCCAUGGGAGAUUCCGGAGAUGCAAAACCUUCGAUGGGGUUUGCGUGUAUCGAAAUUGGGGCUGCCCCGACGUGGACAUCUACAGGGAUUUGGGAUUGUGCCUACCGAUAGACAGAGGAGUCUGAUUCUAGGCGUCAAGAAUUGCUGGGAUUUUCCGGUCAAAAAAUAUUAGGCAUACGUUUUGGGACGAGGCGACGGCGUGAGAUCACUUUGUAGUAUUCG
Molecule: unclassified non-coding RNA, 310 nt
Filed under: Hevea brasiliensis (rubber tree)
Lineage: Eukaryota; Viridiplantae; Streptophyta; Magnoliopsida; Malpighiales; Euphorbiaceae
Source: RNAcentral